UACGGGGGGGGCAAGCGUUGUUCGGAAUUACUGGGCGUAAAGGGUUUGUAGGUGGCUUGUUAAGUCAGACGUGAAAUCCCUCAGCUUAACUGGGGAACUGCGUCUGAUACUGGCGAGCUUGAGUGCAGGAGAGGAACGCGGAAUUCCAGGUGUAGCGGUGAAAUGCGUAGAUAUCUGGAGGAACACCGGUGGCGAAGGCGGCGUUCUGGACUGCAACUGACACUGAGAAACGAAAGCCAGGAUAGCAAACGGG
RNAcentral lists this ribosomal RNA (253 nucleotides) under uncultured bacterium. Its description in RNAcentral is "partial 16S ribosomal RNA". It matches the Rfam family "Bacterial small subunit ribosomal RNA", at positions 524 to 776 of the family's 1533-position model. The record is from RNAcentral.